GACGAACGCUGGCGGCGUGCUUAACACAUGCAAGUCGAACGGAAAGGCCCUGCUUUUGUGGGGUGCUCGAGUGGCGAACGGGUGAGUAACACGUGAGUAACCUGCCCCUGACUUUGGGAUAACUUCAGGAAACUGGGGCUCAUACCGGAUAGGAGCUCCUGCUGCAUGGUGGGGGUUGGAAAGUUUCGGCGGUUGGGGAUGGACUCGCGGCUUAUCAGCUUGUUGGUGGGGUAGUGGCUUACCAAGGCUUUGACGGGUAGCCGGCCUGAGAGGGUGACCGGCCACAUUGGGACUGAGAUACGGCCCAGACUCCAACGGGAGGCAGCAGUGGGGAAUAUGGCACAAUGGGCGGAAGCCUGAGGCAGCAACGCCGCGUGCGGGAUGACGGCCUUCGGGUUGUAAACCGCUUUCGACUGUGACGAAGCGGGAGUGACGGUAAUGGGUAAAGAAGCACCGGCUAACUACGUG
This 468-nucleotide ribosomal RNA is filed under the name uncultured bacterium. Its description in RNAcentral is "partial 16S ribosomal RNA". It matches the Rfam family "Bacterial small subunit ribosomal RNA", at positions 28 to 507 of the family's 1533-position model. The record is from RNAcentral.